RNAcentral lists this ribosomal RNA (500 nucleotides) under uncultured Glomeromycotina. Its description in RNAcentral is "partial small subunit ribosomal RNA". It matches the Rfam family "Eukaryotic small subunit ribosomal RNA", at positions 591 to 1092 of the family's 1831-position model. Lineage: Eukaryota; Fungi; Glomeromycota. The record is from RNAcentral.
CCAAUAGCGUAUAUUAAAGUUGUUGCAGUUAAAAAGCUCGUAGUUGAAUUUCGGGGUUAGUAGGUUGGUCGUGCCACUGGUAUGUACUGGCUUUACUGAUUCCUCCUUCUUGAAGAACUGUAAUGUCAUUAAUUUGGUGUUGCAGGGAAACAGGACUGUUACUUUGAAAAAAUUAGAGUGUUUAAAGCAGGCUAACGCCUGAAUACAUUAGCAUGGAAUAAUGAAAUAGGACGUUUGACCCUAUUUUGUUGGUUUCUAGGAUCGACGUAAUGAUUAAUAGGGAUAGUUGGGGGCAUUAGUAUUCAAUUGUCAGAGGUGAAAUUCUUGGAUUUAUUGAAGACUAACUACUGCGAAAGCAUUUGCCAAGGAUGUUUUCAUUAAUCAAGAACGAAAGUUAGGGGAUCGAAGACGAUCAGAUACCGUCGUAGUCUUAACCAUAAACUAUGCCGACUAGGGAUCGGAUGAUGUUAAUUUUUUAAUGACUCAUUCGGCGCCUUACG